GCACUGCUGAGGAGUCUAGCAAUAGGACGAAACGGCAGUCCAGUGC
Molecule: non-coding RNA, 46 nt
Organism: Schistosoma curassoni
Lineage: Eukaryota; Metazoa; Platyhelminthes; Trematoda; Strigeidida; Schistosomatidae
Source: Rfam